GGAGAACGGCAACGAGCCCGAUUCGCUCUGCGGAUAUGCCGGUUAUGAGCUAAUCGUUUGCUGUCCAACUUCGGGUCCACGAGUAACCCGAAACCCGAUCGACGAUGAACCAGGUGCAAUAGCAAGAUAGAAAUGGGCUGAAUAGGCUGGGUACGUUUACGUCCACAGCUCGCCAGUGAUUACCUCAGGCACAGAACGGAAAGUUAACGUUUCCCAGUACGCGUUCAGGUCCCAGAAGUUCGUUCUGGGAGGAACAAGGGCCGAGCGUAUGGAGUUUCCCCACAUGGCAGCGGUUGGCUACGAUUUGCCAACCGGUGAAGUCGGCUGGUACCACAGCGGCGCUCUGAUAUCCGAGAACUUCGUCCUGACGGCAGCCCACUGCAUCGUUUCAUCGUAUUGGUAAGCCUUGCCACAGCAUUGUUGUUCUGGGAUUUCAUUGCAGGACUGCGAGUAAAACCAUGCAAGAAAAGUUGCUGGUCAAUCAAACCGUAAACGUAGUCGACGCGCUGUAACAAAGUUAUCGCGAAUCGCUGUUGAAUCACUUGGAAUUCCAUCAUCGACACUGGGGCCCUGCGAAAUGGGUCCGCGUCAGCGAUUUGAACCUCCAGCGUUCCGACGACGGAGCGAAACCGGAGGAUCGUCGCAUCGCCGAGCGGAUCAGACACUCUCGAUACAAGCCUUCUUCUU
Molecule: long non-coding RNA, 687 nt
Organism: Neodiprion virginianus
Lineage: Eukaryota; Metazoa; Arthropoda; Insecta; Hymenoptera; Diprionidae
Exons: 3
Source: RefSeq, a predicted model, not a curated record